Molecule: ribosomal RNA, 538 nt
Filed under: uncultured bacterium
Lineage: Bacteria
Description: bacterial SSU rRNA
Rfam family: Bacterial small subunit ribosomal RNA
Source: RNAcentral
AAUAGAUACCCAGGUAGUCCACCCGUAAACGUUGGGAACUAGUUGUGGGGUCCUUUCCACGGAUUCCGUGACGCAGCUAACGCAUUAAGUUCCCCGCCUGGGGAGUACGGCCGCAAGGCUAAAACUCAAAGGAAUUGACGGGGACCCGCACAAGCGGCGGAGCAUGCGGAUUAAUUCGAUGCAACGCGAAGAACCUUACCAAGGCUUGACAUACACCAGAACACCCUAGAAAUAGGGGACUCUUUGGACACUGGUGAACAGGUGGUGCAUGGUUGUCGUCAGCUCGUGUCGUGAGAUGUUGGGUUAAGUCCCGCAACGAGCGCAACCCUCGUUCUAUGUUGCCAGCACGUAAUGGUGGGAACUCAUGGGAUACUGCCGGGGUCAACUCGGAGGAAGGUGGGGAUGACGUCAAAUCAUCAUGCCCCUUAUGUCUUGGGCUUCACGCAUGCUACAAUGGCCGGUACAAAGGGCUGCAAUACCGUGAGGUGGAGCGAAUCCCAAAAAGCCGGUCCAGUUCGGAUUGAGGUCUGCAACUCGA